Molecule: long non-coding RNA, 1258 nt
Organism: Astatotilapia calliptera (eastern happy)
Lineage: Eukaryota; Metazoa; Chordata; Actinopteri; Cichliformes; Cichlidae
Source: Ensembl
CCAAAACCAAAUUGCAAUGUUUCAGUGUUAAAAUCCAGUCAAUUGGGAAACAGUAUCUGUUUGUUUACUCUCACAUCACCAGCUAUUUUUUGGUCAGCUAUUUUUUGGUCCAAAUGCUUAAGCAGCAUUGAGAGUUAAAGACAUCCAAUUACUUUCAGCUCCAGUACUCAGUGGGACUGUUUUCCCAUGUGUGGUAGUUAGGUUUUCAUUACUAGGCAUCCAUGAAGAAGAUGCAAAGUUUACUGGAACUGGAAGAUAUAAGAGAAAGUUAGCUAGCUGGCUAGUUGCUAUCUGGAGACGUUAUAUCAUGUUCUGACUGAAGUAUUUCUUUUAAAAAACUGAACUGCUAUGGCUAUUGACCUUAACAAUAAAAGAAAACUAAAUACCAGAAAUGUUUGGAGGGUUAGUAAAGUUUGGCUAGUUGACAGAAUUAUAUGUUACUUACAGAGCCAACGUUAAGCUAAUUUACCACAGGGACGAUGCAAGAUGAAACUUACACUGUUCUCUAACUUAAACACUACUAACACUACUACAAGUACACUAAUUGAAAAAGAAAAAGGCUUAGGGGCCAAGAAUGACAGCUGAAUUUUGUUUUGGAGCUCUAGUCAUUUCAGCAGAUAGCAUUAGUUUGCUUGCUAGCUAGCAUAGAUUAGCAAAUUCAGUUUUCAACAUGUAACAUGGCUGCAAAUACAAAUAGUUUCAUUAAUUGAGACUUGAAAAUAAAGUGAAAUGCAUUUUCCUUUAUUUGUUAACCUUACUGAAAUCCAGAAUACUUAUAUGUAUUUUCAAAAUGUAUGCUUUUUUUUUCAGAUGGCUGAAAAUGUUUCAGUGCAUUCUCACGUCCUAACCCCAUACUCUUUAUUAGUUACACAAAAAUGUCAAAUGUGUUUGUUUUCAUUAAAAGAACUAGACAAACUAAACCAUCAGAAAUAUCUUUUUAAAGCUUUUAUUUAGUUUUUGUUAGUUUUUUUUUGUCUUUUCAGAUGUUCUUGAUUCUGUGACUUUCAGCACGAAUAAUCAAUCCACUUUGAUGCUUUUUGGCGGGGUUUUGUGCUUUUGUUGUUUAUCUCCAUUAUGUUUUUGUGACCGCUGCAAUGUUUAGAAUAUGAACGUUUUCCGAGCAGAAAAUUUGCAAGUUUAUAUAUUUGUACCAAACACCGACUGAGUAUUGACACAUUUGUAAGUGAUGCUUUAUCACAUGUGAGAAUUUGCAGAUCUGUUCAGUGUUUCUGUUCAGUAUCAAUAAAACCAAAAAACA